UACAGAGGUCCCAAGCGUUGUUCGGAUUCACUGGGCGUAAAGGGUGCGUAGGUGGUUUCUUAAGUCCGUUGUGAAAGCCCCGGGCUCAACCUGGGAAUGGCAGUGGAUACUGAGAGGCUAGAGUGUGUCAGAGGAUGGUGGAAUUCCCGGUGUAGCGGUGAAAUGCGUAGAGAUCGGGAGGAACAUCAGUGGCGAAGGCGGCCAUCUGGGCAGUGGCUGACACUGAGGCGCGACAGCGUGGGGAGCAAACAGG
RNAcentral lists this ribosomal RNA (253 nucleotides) under uncultured bacterium. RNAcentral describes it as "partial 16S ribosomal RNA". It matches the Rfam family "Bacterial small subunit ribosomal RNA", at positions 524 to 776 of the family's 1533-position model. The record is from RNAcentral.